CCGCUCGGAGACGCUGAGAUCAUCUCCCACGCCAUAGCCGGCCUCGACAUCGACUACAAUCCCGUGAUCUCAGCUCUGGCUGCGCGGGGUUGAACCUGUUACGGUUCAGGAGCUGUACAGCCAGCUUCUGAGCUUCGACG
Molecule: small nucleolar RNA, 140 nt
Filed under: Hordeum vulgare
Lineage: Eukaryota; Viridiplantae; Streptophyta; Magnoliopsida; Poales; Poaceae
Description: Small nucleolar RNA Z247
Rfam family: Small nucleolar RNA Z247
About the family: Z247 is a member of the C/D class of snoRNA which contain the C (UGAUGA) and D (CUGA) box motifs. Most of the members of the box C/D family function in directing site-specific 2'-O-methylation of substrate RNAs.
Source: RNAcentral